This 252-nucleotide ribosomal RNA is filed under the name uncultured bacterium. RNAcentral describes it as "partial 16S ribosomal RNA". It matches the Rfam family "Bacterial small subunit ribosomal RNA", at positions 524 to 776 of the family's 1533-position model. The record is from RNAcentral.
UACGUAGGUCCCGAGCGUUGUCCGGAUUUAUUGGGCGUAAAGCGAGCGCAGGUGGUUUAUUAAGUUUGGUGUAAAAGGCAGUGGCUCAACCAUUGUAUGCAUUGGAAACUGGUAGACUUGAGUGCAGGAGAGGAGAGUGGAAUUCCAUGUGUAGCGGUGAAAUGCGUAGAUAUAUGGAGGAACACCGGUGGCGAAAGCGGCUCUCUGGCCUGUAACUGACACUGAGGCUCGAAAGCGUGGGGAUCAAACAGG